GGGUUGUGAGGUUAAGCGACUAAGCGUACACGGUGGAUGCCCUGGCAGUCAGAGGCGAUGAAGGACGUGCUAAUCUGCGAUAAGCGUCGGUAAGGUGAUAUGAACCGUUAUAACCGGCGAUUUCCGAAUGGGGAAACCCAGUGUGAUUCGUCACACUAUCAUUAACUGAAUCCAUAGGUUAAUGAGGCGAACCGGGGGAACUGAAACAUCUAAGUACCCCGAGGAAAAGAAAUCAACCGAGAUUCCCCCAGUAGCGGCGAGCGAACGGGGAGCAGCCCAGAGCCUGAAUCAGUGUGUGUGUUAGUGGAAGCGUCUGGAAAGGCGUGCGAUACAGGGUGACAGCCCCGUACACAAAAAUGCACAUACUGUGAGCUCGAUGAGUAGGGCGGGACACGUGGUAUCCUGUCUGAAUAUGGGGGGACCAUCCUCCAAGGCUAAAUACUCCUGACUGACCGAUAGUGAACCAGUACCGUGAGGGAAAGGCGAAAAGAACCCCGGCGAGGGGAGUGAAAAAGAACCUGAAACCGUGUACGUACAAGCAGUGGGAGCACAGAGCAAUCUGUGUGACUGCGUACCUUUUGUAUAAUGGGUCAGCGACUUAUAUUCUGUAGCAAGGUUAACCGAAUAGGGGAGCCGAAGGGAAACCGAGUCUUAACUGGGCGUUAAGUUGCAGGGUAUAGACCCGAAACCCGGUGAUCUAGCCAUGGGCAGGUUGAAGGUUGGGUAACACUAACUGGAGGACCGAACCGACUAAUGUUGAAAAAUUAGCGGAUGACUUGUGGCUGGGGGUGAAAGGCCAAUCAAACCGGGAGAUAGCUGGUUCUCCCCGAAAGCUAUUUAGGUAGCGCCUCGUGAAUUCAUCUCCGGGGGUAGAGCACUGUUUCGGCAAGGGGGUCAUCCCGACUUACCAACCCGAUGCAAACUGCGAAUACCGGAGAAUGUUAUCACGGGAGACACACGGCGGGUGCUAACGUCCGUCGUGAAGAGGGAAACAACCCAGACCGCCAGCUAAGGUCCCAAAGUCAUGGUUAAGUGGGAAACGAUGUGGGAAGGCCCAGACAGCCAGGAUGUUGGCUUAGAAGCAGCCAUCAUUUAAAGAAAGCGUAAUAGCUCACUGGUCGAGUCGGCCUGCGCGGAAGAUGUAACGGGGCUAAACCAUGCACCGAAGCUGCGGCAGCGACGCUUAUGCGUUGUUGGGUAGGGGAGCGUUCUGUAAGCCUGCGAAGGUGUGCUGUGAGGCAUGCUGGAGGUAUCAGAAGUGCGAAUGCUGACAUAAGUAACGAUAAAGCGGGUGAAAAGCCCGCUCGCCGGAAGACCAAGGGUUCCUGUCCAACGUUAAUCGGGGCAGGGUGAGUCGACCCCUAAGGCGAGGCCGAAAGGCGUAGUCGAUGGGAAACAGGUUAAUAUUCCUGUACUUGGUGUUACUGCGAAGGGGGGACGGAGAAGGCUAUGUUGGCCGGGCGACGGUUGUCCCGGUUUAAGCGUGUAGGCUGGUUUUCCAGGCAAAUCCGGAAAACUAAGGCUGAGGCGUGAUGACGAGGCACUACGGUGCUGAAGCAACAAAUGCCCUGCUUCCAGGAAAAGCCUCUAAGCAUCAGGUAACAUCAAAUCGUACCCCAAACCGACACAGGUGGUCAGGUAGAGAAUACCAAGGCGCUUGAGAGAACUCGGGUGAAGGAACUAGGCAAAAUGGUGCCGUAACUUCGGGAGAAGGCACGCUGAUAUGUAGGUGAAGUCCCUCGCGGAUGGAGCUGAAAUCAGUCGAAGAUACCAGCUGGCUGCAACUGUUUAUUAAAAACACAGCACUGUGCAAACACGAAAGUGGACGUAUACGGUGUGACGCCUGCCCGGUGCCGGAAGGUUAAUUGAUGGGGUUAGCGCAAGCGAAGCUCUUGAUCGAAGCCCCGGUAAACGGCGGCCGUAACUAUAACGGUCCUAAGGUAGCGAAAUUCCUUGUCGGGUAAGUUCCGACCUGCACGAAUGGCGUAAUGAUGGCCAGGCUGUCUCCACCCGAGACUCAGUGAAAUUGAACUCGCUGUGAAGAUGCAGUGUACCCGCGGCAAGACGGAAAGACCCCGUGAACCUUUACUAUAGCUUGACACUGAACAUUGAGCCUUGAUGUGUAGGAUAGGUGGGAGGCUUGGAAGUGUGGACGCCAGUCUGCAUGGAGCCGACCUUGAAAUACCACCCUUUAAUGUUUGAUGUUCUAACGUUGACCCGUAAUCCGGGUUGCGGACAGUGUCUGGUGGGUAGUUUGACUGGGGCGGUCUCCUCCUAAAGAGUAACGGAGGAGCACGAAGGUUGGCUAAUCCUGGUCGGACAUCAGGAGGUUAGUGCAAUGGCAUAAGCCAGCUUGACUGCGAGCGUGACGGCGCGAGCAGGUGCGAAAGCAGGUCAUAGUGAUCCGGUGGUUCUGAAUGGAAGGGCCAUCGCUCAACGGAUAAAAGGUACUCCGGGGAUAACAGGCUGAUACCGCCCAAGAGUUCAUAUCGACGGCGGUGUUUGGCACCUCGAUGUCGGCUCAUCACAUCCUGGGGCUGAAGUAGGUCCCAAGGGUAUGGCUGUUCGCCAUUUAAAGUGGUACGCGAGCUGGGUUUAGAACGUCGUGAGACAGUUCGGUCCCUAUCUGCCGUGGGCGCUGGAGAACUGAGGGGGGCUGCUCCUAGUACGAGAGGACCGGAGUGGACGCAUCACUGGUGUUCGGGUUGUCAUGCCAAUGGCACUGCCCGGUAGCUAAAUGCGGAAGAGAUAAGUGCUGAAAGCAUCUAAGCACGAAACUUGCCCCGAGAUGAGUUCUCCCUGACUCCUUGAGAGUCCUGAAGGAACGUUGAAGACGACGACGUUGAUAGGCCGGGUGUGUAAGCGCAGCGAUGCGUUGAGCUAACCGGUACUAAUGAACCGUGAGGCUUAACCUUACAACGCCGAAGGUGUUU
Molecule: ribosomal RNA, 2933 nt
Filed under: Escherichia coli
Lineage: Bacteria; Pseudomonadati; Pseudomonadota; Gammaproteobacteria; Enterobacterales; Enterobacteriaceae
Description: bacterial LSU rRNA
Rfam family: Bacterial large subunit ribosomal RNA
Source: RNAcentral